GAUGAAGAACGCAGCGAAAUGCGAUAAGUAAUGUGAAUUGCAGAAUUCAGUGAAUCAUCGAAUCUUUGAACGCACAUUGCGCCCCCUGGUAUUCCGGGGGGCAUGCCUGUUCGAGCGUCAUUUCACCACUCAAGCCUCGCUUGGUAUUGGGCGACGCGGUCCGCCGCGCGCCUCAAAUCGACCGGCUGGGUCUUCUGUCCCCUCAGCGUUGUGGAAACUAUUCGCUAAAGGGUGCCACGGGAGGCCACGCCGAAAAACAAACCCAUUUCUAAGGUUGACCUCGGAUCAGGUAGGGAUACCCGCUGAACUUAAGCAUAUCAAUAAGCGGAGGA
This 332-nucleotide unclassified non-coding RNA is filed under the name soil metagenome. Its description in RNAcentral is "partial contains 5.8S ribosomal RNA, internal transcribed spacer 2, and large subunit ribosomal RNA". The stretch from base 1 to 120 matches the Rfam family "5.8S ribosomal RNA", at positions 35 to 154 of the family's 154-position model. The record is from RNAcentral.